Molecule: long non-coding RNA, 2595 nt
Filed under: Sus scrofa (pig)
Lineage: Eukaryota; Metazoa; Chordata; Mammalia; Artiodactyla; Suidae
Description: lncRNA (ENSSSCG00040057732.1)
Source: RNAcentral
UUUUUUUUUUUUUUUUUUUAACUGAGGACAUUGGGCAGAGUCUAUGAAAUUAAUAUUGUAAAUCAGGAAUCAGAACAAUUUCAUUUGUGUAUCUAAGGCAAGAUAGUAAAUAUUUUAGGCUUAUGGAUCAAGAAAUAAAAUUGAGACUCUGGAGCUAUGGCUCUAACUUUCUCACUGGUAAUUAUUCUCACUAGUAAAGAGUCAAUGACUUAAAAGAGUUUAGGAGAAAAUUCUGUAUUUAGCCCCUUAUCUUUGGCACAUAACCUCUCUAAGUCCAUAUUCCAUUAUAUAAAAAUUAGAAUGAUGAUGCCUACCUAACAGUGUGGCUGUAAGGACAAAAUGACUAGAGCAAAUAAACUACUUAGCACUGAUAGGUAGGAUAGGACAAGGACUCUUGGACAUGGGUGAUUUAAAACUGGCCCUUUAUCGGUUACCAAAAGCAGGAGGCCUGUGAUCAAACAAUGAAGACACAGGCGGGUAUCAGAGGGGUCCUCUUCAGAGGACUUACCUAUAGUCUUUUUCCCAUGCAAAUAAGGUGUCCACACCCAGAACCAAUCAGAGGAUCAAAACACACCCCCAAUACAAAGAUCAAAACAACACCCUGGUACAGGGGGGGUGGGAUAGGAAAUUAGUGGGCCUGGGGCAAGAGAAUAGGGGUCCCCAGACAGGUCCAUGAUAUAGGAAUAUAAUGAGAGACCCAGUUGCAACCAGGACCAGUUCAUACCCCAGGGCAGCCUGCUUCUCUGAAGGCAAAAAUAAAACUCGCCUUAUGCUGCUACCUGACUCUUAACUUUGACAGCGGCAACCAGCAGAAGCAUUUUUUGCUGGGAACGUUGGACCGUCACUGCUGCAACACCUCCCAGCUGGAAUGACCUCCUGCCAGACUGCCUGUCUCCAUCCAUGCAGGACGAAGCCCACUGGCUGUACCCCGGCACCACUACACACUUAUCGGCCUGCACCUCCAAAUCUUUGUUGUGCGUAGGCAAGGACAGAGAGAGAGAGAGAGAGCAUGCAUGCUCAGGGCAGAGGAACCUGACAGCAUCAUGCUUGGCACACUUGAACCACUGAAUACACAGUCAUAGUGAUGCUGUAAUGACAAUGAUGAUGCCCUGAUGGUGAUGAUGGUGGAAAUGAAUAAAGUUCAAAGGGUCAAACCCAAGAGUUUCUCCUAGUAACACAAAGCCUCCUUCAGAGGAUCUAAGUCACAAGUUCCUUCAUCCCAUUAGCAGGCAUGCUAAUAUUUGAGUCUUAUUGAUAUAAUUAAAUCUAAAAUUGCCACAGCAGUCUCUACCCCACCCACUUCCUGUCACUUCCAUUUCAGAUAUUUUAGUGAGGGGCAGCAUUUCCUAGCAACGUGGUUCAUAAAAAAACUGGUUUCAUAAGCUAGAUGUUUUACCUACAAGCACACGCUCACAUAUACAAAGGCACACAUCAUAGCUACACAACUUGUAUGGACAAAAAAGUUUAGGAAAUAUUGAGCUAAAUAAAGUUGGAGAUGUUUCCAAAAGAAGACUUUAAGAAUGCUUUUAUUAUGACAAUAUUGAUUGUGACAGUCUAUGAGGGAGUUAAGAAUAUCAUGUCCCAAAGGUAUUUCCCCAGUUGUUUGUGGUGCCCACUUUGCGUGAAAUAUAUUUUCAAAAUGGUGAAAAUGAUAACAAGCAUUUAGUGAUCAAUAGGUAUGAUAGGAAUGGAGUAGGCACAGAUAUUGCAGAAGUUCCAAUGAAGGACCAUAGGUAGGGACAUCUAGGGGACUCUGGGAGAGCAACAUAAAUCAAUAAAUUGCUCAAAAAAAGCCAUCAGAACAAGGCAGGCUUGCUUGACUAGUGGAAGUGCAAGAAUUGUCUCAGGUCAUUGGGCGGGGGAUGGGAUGGGGUCUGCAUUCAGAUUCAGACCAAGGGCAGGAGUUUGAGGACUGCCCUUCUGAUUUGAAUACACACCUUACUGGAUACCAGGGAAGAGCUACUACUCCCAGAAAGGAAGAGGUGGGCCUUUCCAACACCCACUCCCCUCGGGUGAUAAAACUGUAGCCAAGGGGAUCCUUAGGGAAGAGCUUUGGUACCUGCAAACUUGCAUCUCUCACAAGCGUCUUAUCUUAAUCAAAUCUAUUUCUUGUCUAUCGCUUUGUCUCUCACUGAAUUCCUUCUGCACUGAGGCAUUAAGAACCUAAACUUCAGUGAGUCCAGACACUGGGUGAGAGAUUCUAUUUUAAAACCACGGUUUGGGAGUUCCCGUGGUGGCACAGUGGUUAACGAAUCCGACUAGGAACCAUGAGGUUGCGGGUUCGGUCCCUGCCCUUGCUCAGUGGGUUAACAAUCCGGCGUUGCCGUGAGCUGUGGUGUAGGUUGCAGACGCGGCUUGGAUCCCGCGUUGCUGUGUCUCUGGCAUAGGCCGGUGACUACAGCUCCGAUUCGACCCCUAGCCCGGGAACCUCCAUAUGCCUCGGAGCGGCCCAAAGAAAUAGCAAAAAGACAAAAAAAUAAAAUAAAAUAAAAUAAAAUAAAACCAUGGUUCAAGUCCCAAUCUGGGUUUAGGCUGGGUACAAGUCGCGGCACAUGGGUAGGUUCAGGCUGUUAGUGCUGUCAGGUAUACACCAUG